CGGGAGCCCGGCGCGCGCUGCGGAGCGAACCAUUGAUCGCCGGGCCGCGGGGGUGGGAGAGCUGCCGCUAGGACCAGCCGCCCCGCGCCCAACUCCCCCAGCCCCGGCUUCCUCUUCGGCCCUGCCUUGGCGGCUGCGCCCGCCGGGCUCCGCCGCCCCUCCUCAGCCCGGGAGCCGGUUGAGUGCCCCCCGCGCGGCCCAGAUGGACUCUCCCCGCUCGGCGGCGGCAGCCCUGGGCCCGCCCAUGGAGAGGAGGCGGGCGUCGGUCGGGCCCCGCCCCCAGCCCCGCCCCUUCCCGCGCGGUCAGGCGCGUACUGGCGGAGGGGUGGCCACGUGCUGGCGCCGCGUCCGCACCUUUGUUGUCCCAGGACUCUCCUGCGGGCUCGGAGCCGGCGCGGUCGCUGCGGGUUCUUGCGACCCAGUUUUGGGUCAUGACACAUGGGUUGAGAAAGGCCGCUCCAGAGGCAUCGCUGCUGAUACCCCUCCAGACUCUCGAGAUGACGAGCACGUUUCACAUCUGUCGAGGACAGGGGGGUUGACGACUGCUUCAUUGCCGGCGGAGUCCAGCAGCGGCAGUGACUCCUUAGCCAAGAUCCAACGCACGUGGGCAGGAGCUUGAGCCCACUUUCAGACGGUCCCCUGCAAACCCGCGGGAAGUGGACCCCUGACCUCACCCGUCUCCUCAAAGUGUCACAUGUCAGCCAUGGCAUUCCCCUGUGUGCUGUUGGCUGCUGAACUGGUGUGCCUUAACUCCACAGGCCUCUUGGCUCCUGGCAGGCCUGAAUAGAUGAUACCAAUGCUGAUCUUCGGAUGAGGAACUACUUCAUUGUAAAAACAGGAGAGUGAGAGCAAGAUCCAACCGAAGAGAUAGAUGUUUAAGUAUCUAGCUGCAAAGGGUCUUGACCCCAGUUAGGUGCUUGGGUUACAGUGCCCGUGGGGUAUGGGCAGCUAGGCGGAGAGUUGCAAGGUGCUGGCCAGUAGAAAACACCAAGCAGAGCUGCCUCUGCAGAGCCUAGGCACCCAAGUCCAAGCUGUGAGUACCAGUGUUGUAAUAAGCUGCCACUGAGCAAGCAUUAUGAAUGGGGACCUGUCGAAAUCGUGAUUUCACAGAUUCUGCAAAUUCUGGCUUUGCCUGUGAAAUCCAUGGGGAAUAAAAAGAAUUACUGAAAAUAAAAUGAUGGCUGC
This 1185-nucleotide long non-coding RNA is filed under the name Crocodylus porosus (Australian saltwater crocodile). RNAcentral describes it as "lncRNA (ENSCPRG00005005153.1)". The record is from RNAcentral. Lineage: Eukaryota; Metazoa; Chordata; Crocodylia; Crocodylidae.